UUUGUUGCCGCUUCAAUGUCAGAAAGUAGCUUAUAGGCAAUUGAUUUGCCCUUAUCUUUUUUCUUCGUUGUUUUUUCUCCCAAUGAUGAUGAGGUAUCCUUUACAAGCAAUUCUUGUGAAGCUGCCUCCCGAGCCUUGUCUCCUCGAGUUUGCCUCUUAAAAGAAUUUCCUUCUCUAGUAUCAUCAAAAUUUCCUCGUCUCUUUUCUUCCAUCAAAGCUUUAUG
RNAcentral lists this long non-coding RNA (224 nucleotides) under Physcomitrium patens. RNAcentral describes it as "long non-coding RNA (PPAT_LNC008955)". The record is from RNAcentral. Lineage: Eukaryota; Viridiplantae; Streptophyta; Bryopsida; Funariales; Funariaceae.